AGAAAAGUAGGUGCUGCCCCGCACAGGGGCAACGCUAAUAGACCGACACGACAACAAGGAAAUGCCAACACAACAAUCCACCCAGCAUAAC
RNAcentral lists this small RNA (91 nucleotides) under Paraburkholderia bannensis. RNAcentral describes it as "sRNA Bp1_Cand684_SIPHT". It matches the Rfam family "Burkholderia sRNA Bp1_Cand684_SIPHT". Lineage: Bacteria; Pseudomonadati; Pseudomonadota; Betaproteobacteria; Burkholderiales; Burkholderiaceae. The record is from RNAcentral. RNAcentral also lists the same sequence under 1 other name.